This is a long non-coding RNA of Zonotrichia leucophrys gambelii, 938 nucleotides long. RefSeq lists it as uncharacterized. The transcript is spliced from 2 exons. NCBI's taxonomy places the organism in Eukaryota, Metazoa, Chordata, Aves, Passeriformes, Passerellidae. The record is from RefSeq and is a predicted model, not a curated record.
GCUGCUGUGAGGACAAGGAAGAGUCAGUGCCUAGAGGAGCUGCCUACAAGAAACAUCAAGGAGAUCUUCUUCCAGUGUGAUGCUGCCUUCCUACGCCCUCCAGGAGCCGGUGGGCUGCAGGACCCGCGCCCAGCACUGCUCCAGCAGCUGUCACAGGAAAACGAGAGGGUUUCAUAACAAGAGAGUGGGCAACUGUAAUUUGGGUACUCAGGAACUCGUGGGAGGCUGUUUCUUGACUCCAAAGGCAAGUUGAUAAAUGAGGAUAUACAGUGGGAGAUGCACAGGCUUCGGAACACUUUGCAGGAACUGCUACCAGGAGAUCCGCGGGGGCCAUACCCAGCUACUUAUGUCUUCUGGCACCUUCAGAAAUACUAUGGUUUCUCCUGAAGGACCAUCUUGCUGCCAAAUGCUUUUUGCAUGUGUUCAAUGGAUGCCUGAGUCACAGAUUCUACAGAGCUAACACUCACAAAACUAAGUUUAUUUUUGAUCUCCUUUCCAAAACUUCUUUUCUAAUUCAUAAUUGUAGUUGACAGCACCUUUGACAUGCCUUUCCAUAAACUGAGCCUUAAGACAGACAUACAGUGAAGGCCCUGGGUUGUAUUUGCUUUCUAAAUUAACAUCCAGGCUGUGAUCAAUGUGGCAGUGCGUGGAUAACAAAGUUAUUGUUUCAGGCUGUUUGCUGGCAGCAUCAGCAGAAUAACCCCAGCGGUGUCGGUUCAAGUCACACACGAGUGAAAAGCCUCCUGCUCUAGGGUGGCCUUGGUUCCCAAUCCCAGUUCCAUAAAAAGAACACCUCUCCAAUCACUGUCUUGUCCAGGUGAACAAGAUAAGGACUUAAUCACUCCUUCUUCCAGAGUAGUUUAAAUAAUAUCUGUACAGAAGGUUUUUCUGUGAUGCUGACAUACAUAUUACAAUGAAUAAAAAACCCCCGGCCCUCA